UUAUUAUAAAACACCUUGAUCAUUUUAUAAUACCUAUUGUCUACAUAAUUUCACAGUCGCAACAAAGCAAGACGAAUGUGAGACCUGGACUGCACUUAUCGAUUGUUUGAUGAAAGGAGUCAAUCCUGGGGCCCCUCCUGGCAAAUCUUUGAAAGAAAAGAAGUAAUCUAUAAGAUCAUCUAUAAACUGUUUGUGUUUCACUAUCGACAUUUUUUUGGGUUGGUGGAACAGCAAAAGAAAAAAAAAACAACUAUUGACUUGUAAUAAAGUUUUUUGCGCCUUUUCAUUGCAUACGAAUAUUUGUUUACAACGA
Molecule: long non-coding RNA, 313 nt
Organism: Cimex lectularius (bed bug)
Lineage: Eukaryota; Metazoa; Arthropoda; Insecta; Hemiptera; Cimicidae
Exons: 3
Source: RefSeq, a predicted model, not a curated record